GGGAAAAGAGGUUGGAUGGAUCUACGGUUCUGUGACAGAAGAUAUAUUGACAGGCUUCAAGAUGCAUUGCCACGGGUGGCGGUCGAUCUACUGCGUUCCUGAGAGACCUGCAUUCAAGGGUUCUGCGCCACUCAAUCUCUCCGAUCGUCUUCACCAGGUUCUUCGAUGGGCUCUUGGUUCAGUUGAAAUUUUCUUGAGCAAGCAUUGCCCUCUGUGGUACGGAUACGGAGGCGGCCUCAAAUGGUUGGAGCGGUUAUCGUACAUAAAUGCUACUGUGUAUCCCUGGACAUCGAUUCCGCUGCUCGCUUACUGUACUCUGCCUGCCAUUUGCUUGCUGACUGGGAAAUUCAUCACUCCGGAGCUUAGCAAC
RNAcentral lists this unclassified non-coding RNA (370 nucleotides) under Hevea brasiliensis (rubber tree). The record is from RNAcentral. Lineage: Eukaryota; Viridiplantae; Streptophyta; Magnoliopsida; Malpighiales; Euphorbiaceae.